This 2285-nucleotide ribosomal RNA is filed under the name Staphylococcus aureus. Its description in RNAcentral is "partial 23S ribosomal RNA". It matches the Rfam family "Bacterial large subunit ribosomal RNA", at positions 1 to 2282 of the family's 2925-position model. The record is from RNAcentral. Lineage: Bacteria; Bacillati; Bacillota; Bacilli; Caryophanales; Staphylococcaceae.
AGAUUAAGUUAUUAAGGGCGCACGGUGGAUGCCUUGGCACUAGAAGCCGAUGAAGGACGUUACUAACGACGAUAUGCUUUGGGGAGCUGUAAGUAAGCUUUGAUCCAGAGAUUUCCGAAUGGGGAAACCCAGCAUGAGUUAUGUCAUGUUAUCGAUAUGUGAAUACAUAGCAUAUCAGAAGGCACACCCGGAGAACUGAAACAUCUUAGUACCCGGAGGAAGAGAAAGAAAAUUCGAUCCCCUUAGUAGCGGCGAGCGAAACGGGAAGAGCCCAAACCAACAAGCUUGCUUGUUGGGGUUGUAGGACACUCUAUACGGAGUUACAAAGGACGACAUUAGACGAAUCAUCUGGAAAGAUGAAUCAAAGAAGGUAAUAAUCCUGUAGUCGAAAAUGUUGUCUCUCUUGAGUGGAUCCUGAGUACGACGGAGCACGUGAAAUUCCGUCGGAAUCUGGGAGGACCAUCUCCUAAGGCUAAAUACUCUCUAGUGACCGAUAGUGAACCAGUACCGUGAGGGAAAGGUGAAAAGCACCCCGGAAGGGGAGUGAAAUAGAACCUGAAACCGUGUGCUUACAAGUAGUCAGAGCCCGUUAAUGGGUGAUGGCGUGCCUUUUGUAGAAUGAACCGGCGAGUUACGAUUUGAUGCAAGGUUAAGCAGUAAAUGUGGAGCCGUAGCGAAAGCGAGUCUGAAUAGGGCGUUUAGUAUUUGGUCGUAGACCCGAAACCAGGUGAUCUACCCUUGGUCAGGUUGAAGUUCAGGUAACACUGAAUGGAGGACCGAACCGACUUACGUUGAAAAGUGAGCGGAUGAACUGAGGGUAGCGGAGAAAUUCCAAUCGAACCUGGAGAUAGCUGGUUCUCUCCGAAAUAGCUUUAGGGCUAGCCUCAAGUGAUGAUUAUUGGAGGUAGAGCACUGUUUGGACGAGGGGCCCCUCUCGGGUUACCGAAUUCAGACAAACUCCGAAUGCCAAUUAAUUUAACUUGGGAGUCAGAACAUGGGUGAUAAGGUCCGUGUUCGAAAGGGAAACAGCCCAGACCACCAGCUAAGGUCCCAAAAUAUAUGUUAAGUGGAAAAGGAUGUGGCGUUGCCCAGACAACUAGGAUGUUGGCUUAGAAGCAGCCAUCAUUUAAAGAGUGCGUAAUAGCUCACUAGUCGAGUGACACUGCGCCGAAAAUGUACCGGGGCUAAACAUAUUACCGAAGCUGUGGAUUGUCCUUUGGACAAUGGUAGGAGAGCGUUCUAAGGGCGUUGAAGCAUGAUCGUAAGAACAUGUGGAGCGCUUAGAAGUGAGAAUGCCGGUGUGAGUAGCGAAAGACGGGUGAGAAUCCCGUCCACCGAUUGACUAAGGUUUCCAGAGGAAGGCUCGUCCGCUCUGGGUUAGUCGGGUCCUAAGCUGAGGCCGACAGGCGUAGGCGAUGGAUAACAGGUUGAUAUUCCUGUACCACCUAUAAUCGUUUUAAUCGAUGGGGGGGACGCAGUAGGAUAGGCGAAGCGUGCGAUUGGAUUGCACGUCUAAGCAGUAAGGCUGAGUAUUAGGCAAAUCCGGUACUCGUUAAGGCUGAGCUGUGAUGGGGAGAAGACAUUGUGUCUUCGAGUCGUUGAUUUCACACUGCCGAGAAAAGCCUCUAGAUAGAAAAUAGGUGCCCGUACCGCAAACCGACACAGGUAGUCAAGAUGAGAAUUCUAAGGUGAGCGAGCGAACUCUCGUUAAGGAACUCGGCAAAAUGACCCCGUAACUUCGGGAGAAGGGGUGCUCUUUAGGGUUAACGCCCAGAAGAGCCGCAGUGAAUAGGCCCAAGCGACUGUUUAUCAAAAACACAGGUCUCUGCUAAACCGUAAGGUGAUGUAUAGGGGCUGACGCCUGCCCGGUGCUGGAAGGUUAAGAGGAGUGGUUAGCUUCUGCGAAGCUACGAAUCGAAGCCCCAGUAAACGGCGGCCGUAACUAUAACGGUCCUAAGGUAGCGAAAUUCCUUGUCGGGUAAGUUCCGACCCGCACGAAAGGCGUAACGAUUUGGGCACUGUCUCAACGAGAGACUCGGUGAAAUCAUAGUACCUGUGAAGAUGCAGGUUACCCGCGACAGGACGGAAAGACCCCGUGGAGCUUUACUGUAGCCUGAUAUUGAAAUUCGGCACAGCUUGUACAGGAUAGGUAGGAGCCUUUGAAACGUGAGCGCUAGCUUACGUGGAGGCGCUGGUGGGAUACUACCCUAGCUGUGUUGGCUUUCUAACCCGCACCACUUAUCGUGGUGGGAGACAGUGUCAGGCGGGCAGUUUGACUGGGGCGG